Molecule: ribosomal RNA, 406 nt
Filed under: uncultured bacterium
Lineage: Bacteria
Description: partial 16S ribosomal RNA
Rfam family: Bacterial small subunit ribosomal RNA
Source: RNAcentral
AUUGAACGCUGGCGGCAGGCCUAACACAUGCAAGUCGAGCGAGUGGCGGACGGGUGAGUAAUGUCUGGAAAACUGCCUGAUGGAGGGGGAUAACUACUGGAAACGGUCGCUAAUACCGCAUACCAUCAGAUGUGCCCAGAUGGGAUUAGCUAGUCGGUGGGGUAAUGGCUCACCUAGGCGACGAUCCCUAGCUGGUCUUAGAGGAUGACCAGCCACACGGGAACUGAGACACGGUCCAGACUCCUACGGGAGGCAGCAGUGGGGAAUAUUGCACAAUGGGCGCAAGCCUGAUGCAGCCAUGCCGCGUGUGUGAAGAAGGCCUUCGGGUUGUAAAGCACUUUCAGCGGGGAGGCGUUACUCGCAGAAGAAGCACCGGCUAACUCCGUGCCAGCAGCCGCGGUAAUUC